UGAGGAAUAUUGGGCAAUGCCCGCAAGGGUGACCCAGCAACGCCGCGUGGAGGAUGAAUGUCGUAAGAUUGUAAACUCCUGUUAGAGGGGAAGAAUAGUACCGGUUGGACCGGUAUAUGACUGUACCCUCAGAGAAAGCCCCGGCUAACUACGUGCCAGCAGCCGCGGUAAUACGUAGGGGGCAAGCGUUGUCCGGAUUUACUGGGUGUAAAGGGCGCGCAGGCGGGAUAAAAAGUCAGUGGUGAAAUCCUACAGCUUAACUGUAGAACUGCCUUUGAUACUUUUAUUCUUGAGAUCGGGAGAGAGAGACGGAAUUCCAGGUGUAGUGGUGAAAUACGUAGAUAUCUGGAAGAACACCAGUUGCGAAGGCGGUCUCUUGGUCCGACACUGACGCUGAGGCACGAAAGCGUGGGGAGCAAACA
Molecule: ribosomal RNA, 422 nt
Filed under: uncultured bacterium
Lineage: Bacteria
Description: bacterial SSU rRNA
Rfam family: Bacterial small subunit ribosomal RNA
Source: RNAcentral